GAGACAUAAGAGCUGCUUUCUCUCUGCUGUCUCUGCCCUGUGAUGAUGCAAUGAGAAGCAGAAACAGAGCUGAAAUAUUGCCCUCUUUGAGAGACGGGGACAUGGAGGCGCAGACGGUCUGCAUUUGCUUCCUGGCUCCUGUGCAUGCUAGAGACACAGCCGCAGUUGAAGAAAUCAUGACCAGGAAGAGGACAGCGCUGUGAUGGGCUCCUCUGAAGGCCUGGAGCCAGCCCCGGCGAGGCUGCCUGACCCCCCCGCCUUCCCCAUCCCUCCUGCUCACACUGCUCUGCUCCUCUGCUACAAACCACGUCUUCUUCCUCUCCCUGGAGCCAGCCCAGCUUCCCUCCUUCAGCAGGCUUUCCUCAAGUGACUUUACCCUGAGCGACUCCAUGUUUCUUCCUGUAUUUGUGUGUCUUGACCCAGUGCCAUUUCAUUCAAUUAAAAAAAAACACCAAUUGAGUCCCUGCCCAGGGUGCCGUAGGGGUGCAGGAUAGAGGGGUGGGCAGGUGUGAUUCUCCGCCUCGAGUGGCUUGUCCCCAUGAGGAUUUUCAGGCAAGAGUGCAACCAUGCAAAUGAAAGCGAUGUGCAUGUGAUGAGAGAAAUGCCAGAUGGAGCCCAGAAGAGGGAAACAUCACAUCCAGUUGGGAGAUGGAGAGAGGCUAAAUGAGGAGGAGGUGCUGGCCGGGCUGUUCAGCUGUGUCUUCUUUUGUUCCCAUUUCCCUUUCCUCCACUGAUCUCUCAAAGAUGCUCUGCCGCAUCAGAUUCUCUGUUAGGCACCGGGGGAUCCAAAUGCACUCAUUUUAGCUAAUUAACUCAGACAUGCAAGAAAUAAUGCAUUUCUUUAUUUUCUCUAAGAUACCUUAAUUUAGACUCUAAGCCCCAUUUCUGCUGGGUUGGUGGGAAAUGCAUCCUUGUCACCUUGGAGCCUCCUGACCCCAAGUAGUCAAAAAUGCUCCAGGUCACAGGUGAAGCGAAGGCACCAGGGGGGCUGUGCCCAGUGGCAGCCAUCAGUUUCCUUCUGUGCUGCUGAGGCUCCCUGCCCUGCCGGGCCCCUUGGAGUCAGGCUCAGGAAUCCAGUACCUGGGUGUCCGCUGGGGACCCACCAGGGAGCAGGAUGUGGUCUCCACCACUAGCAACACCUCCCGUUUCCCUCUUUGGCACAGGGGAAUCUCUUUUUAGUUCGGAAGUCUCUCUCUCUCACUCUACCCCCCCAAGCAUUUGUCCUCUCCCUCAAGGACACCUAGAAUCUCCACACAGAGGAAAACAAAAGCCAGGAAGAAAAGUGUAUUAGUUAGUGUAGUGGGCUGAAUUGUGUCCCCUCGAAAUGUACAUGUUGCGGUCCUAACCCCUAGCAUCUCAGAAUGUGCCGGUAUUUGGAGAUAAGGGCUUUAAAGUGGUAAUUAAGUUGAAAUGAAGUCUUCAGGGUGGAACCUAAUCCAAUAGGGCUGGUGUCCUCAUAAGAAGAGAUUUGGACGCAGACGUGUGCAAAGGGAAGACCGUGUGAGAACACCAGAAGACGACUGCCGUUGACAAGCCGAGGAGAGAGCCUUAGAAGAAACCGACCCUGCUGACACCUUGAUCUGGAACUUCCGGCCUCCAGAACUGUGAGGAAAUAAACUUCUGUUGUUUAAACCCCUCAGUCUGCCGCAUUAUGUUGUGGCAGCUGAGCAGACUAAUCCAGCUGGGAUCUGUGUUUGGCUGCUGUACCAAAGGAACCCAAAAUACAAUGGCUUAAACAAGAUGGAAAUUAAUUUUUAUCUCAUGAACCAGUCUGAAGGUGGGCAUUGCGGAUGACGUGGGGCUGGGGACUCACACUUCUAUCUUUGUGCUCUGUCACCCCCUGGGAUGUUUUCUUGUCUUUGUGAUCCCAGAGAGCUCCCCAUUAUGUCCCUGCACCCACAUCUGGCCAGCAGAAAAGGAAAAGGAGAAGGGAAGGGAGUGCCCCUUCCUUUUAAGGGCAAGAACUGGAAGGAGCGGACAUUGCUUCUGCUCGUAUGUUAAUGGACCUAAUUUGGUGAUAUGGC
RNAcentral lists this long non-coding RNA (2024 nucleotides) under Equus caballus (horse). RNAcentral's name for it is "lncRNA (ENSECAG00000058352.1)". Lineage: Eukaryota; Metazoa; Chordata; Mammalia; Perissodactyla; Equidae. The record is from RNAcentral.